GGUAUAAGACAAAUCUACUGGCAUCUUGUUAAAAGAUGAUUGAGUGGCACCAGCAGCAUGAACCUAGGGUCUGUCUGCAUCCUGGACUUUCUGUGAUGCGUACACCCCUGGCCUAUGGCACCUGCCCAUCUCCCUGCUCAGCCCAGGCACUUUGUAGACAGAACCUCACUGCUGACCAGAGUUUGGAACCUUGAGAAGAUGGCGAAAGCCUGUACGUGUUGGUGUCCAACAUGUUACAUGAAGGGUUUCCCACAGAGACACACAGCAAAGAAAACACCUAAGAGAAGGAACAAAAGUGAGGCACACAUGCUUUGGCUGAAGAAGCUUCUAGACACCAUGAAGUACCAAGUCACAUUUGUUCCCAUUGUUGACUCAAAGAACGAUGGGUCCCGCUGCAAGCCUAAGGCCACUGUAAUCAUCGUCGAGCUUGCUUCUCCACCCCAGGGUCUCUAAAUAAAACCUCUUCUUUCUCGGAAAAAAAUGUUUCUGAGUGUAAUUAUUUAGCUAAGAAGUAAUCUGUGGUCCCUGGAGUAUCCC
Molecule: long non-coding RNA, 537 nt
Filed under: Mus spicilegus (steppe mouse)
Lineage: Eukaryota; Metazoa; Chordata; Mammalia; Rodentia; Muridae
Description: lncRNA (ENSMSIG00000020790.1)
Source: RNAcentral